This 468-nucleotide ribosomal RNA is filed under the name uncultured bacterium. RNAcentral describes it as "partial 16S ribosomal RNA". It matches the Rfam family "Bacterial small subunit ribosomal RNA", at positions 28 to 507 of the family's 1533-position model. The record is from RNAcentral.
GACGAACGCUGGCGGCGUGCUUAACACAUGCAAGUCGAACGGACAGGCCCGACUUUUGUUGUGUGCUCGAUUGCCGCACGGGUGAGUAACACGUGAGUAACCUGCCCUUGACUUUGGGAUAUAUUUAGGAAACUGGGGCUCAUACCGCGUAGAAUCUCCUGCUCCGUGGGGGUCGAUGGAAAGUUUCGGCGGUUGGGGAUGGACUCGAGGCUUAUCCGCUUCUUUGGCGGGUAGGGGCUGACGAAGGCUAUGACGGGUAGCCCGCCUGGGAGGGGGACCGGGCACAUGGGGACUGAGAUACGGCCCAGAAGCCUACGUGAGGCAGCAGUGGAAAAUAUUGCACAAUGAGCGGAAGUGAGAGGCAGCAACGCCGCGUGCGGGAUGACCGGCUUCGGGUUGUAAACAGAUUUCGCAUGUGAUGAACAGUGAGUGACGGUAAUGGGUCAAGAAGCAACGGCUAACUACGUG